UACGUAGGGUGCAAGCGUUUGUCCGGAAUUAUUGGGCGUAAAGGGCUCGUAGGCGGUCUGUCACGUCGGGAGUGAAAACACGGGGCUUAACCCCGUGCCUGCUUCGAUACGGGCAGGCUAGAGUUCGGUAGGGGGAGACUGGAAUUCCUGGUGUAGCGGUGGAAUGCGCAGAUAUCAGGAGGAACACCGGUGGCGAAGGCGGGUCUCUGGGCCGAAACUGACGCUGAGGAGCGAAAGCGUGGGGAGCGAACAGG
Molecule: ribosomal RNA, 254 nt
Filed under: uncultured bacterium
Lineage: Bacteria
Description: partial 16S ribosomal RNA
Rfam family: Bacterial small subunit ribosomal RNA
Source: RNAcentral